CAGCCGCCGCGGUAAUACGGAGGGAGCUAGCGUUGUUCGGAAUUACUGGGCGUGAAGCGCACGUAGGCGGCUUUGUAAGUUAGAGGUGAAAGCCUGGAGCUCAACUCCAGAAUUGCCUUUAAGACUGCAUCGCUUGAAUCCGAGAGAGGUGAGUGGAAUUCCGAGUGUAGAGGUGAAAUUCGUAGAUAUUCGCAGGAACACCAGUGGCGAAGGCGGCUGACUGGUCCACAACUGACGCUGAGGUGCGAAAGCGUGGGGAGCAAACAGGAUUAGAUACCCCUGUAGUCCCUGUCUCUUAUAC
RNAcentral lists this ribosomal RNA (301 nucleotides) under uncultured bacterium. RNAcentral's name for it is "partial 16S ribosomal RNA". It matches the Rfam family "Bacterial small subunit ribosomal RNA", at positions 509 to 807 of the family's 1533-position model. The record is from RNAcentral.